ACACCGGCAGCUCAAGUGGUAGCCGCUUUUAUUGGGCCUAAAGCGUCCGUAGCCGGUCUGAUAAGUCUCUGGUGAAAUCCCACAGCUUAACUGUGGGAAUUGCUGGAGAUACUAUCAUGACUCGAGGUCGGGAGAGGCUGGAGGUACUCCCAGGGUAGGGGUGAAAUCCUGUAAUCCUGGGAGGACCACCUGUGGCGAAGGCGUCCAGCUGGAACGAACCUGACGGUGAGGGACGAAAGCCAGGGGCGCGAACCGGAUUAGAUACCCGGGUAGUCCUGGCCGUAAACGAUGUGGACUUGGUGUUGGGAUGGCCUCGAGCUGCCCCAGUGCCGAAGGGAAGCUGUUAAGUCCACCGCCUGGGAAGUACGGUCGCAAGACUGAAACUCAAAGGAAUUGGCGGGG
This 402-nucleotide ribosomal RNA is filed under the name uncultured bacterium. Its description in RNAcentral is "partial 16S ribosomal RNA". It matches the Rfam family "Archaeal small subunit ribosomal RNA", at positions 473 to 873 of the family's 1478-position model. The record is from RNAcentral.